AGGAUAGAGGCGCGGUUUUCAUCAGUAACUGAAGGUAAGAGGUCUUCGCAAGGAUCUGCCGACAGCGAAAGGGGCAACCGCCGAAGGAAAAACUGUUGCGACGUUUUUCUUGGUUAUCCGGAGAAAAUCCGUAUAACUGUCGCUUGCGCGGAGAGCUAUAUG
RNAcentral lists this non-coding RNA (162 nucleotides) under pig gut metagenome. RNAcentral describes it as "Lysine riboswitch". It matches the Rfam family "Lysine riboswitch aptamer". Rfam says of the family: Riboswitches are metabolite binding domains within certain messenger RNAs that serve as precision sensors for their corresponding targets. Allosteric rearrangement of mRNA structure is mediated by ligand binding, and this results in modulation of gene expression. The record is from RNAcentral.